GACGAACGCUGGCGGCGUGCUUAACACAUGCAAGUCGAACGGAAAGGCCCUGCUUUUGUGGGGUGCUCGAGUGGCGAACGGGUGAGUAACACGUGAGUAACCUGCCCUUGACUUUGGGAUAACUUCAGGAAACUGGGGCUAAUACCGGAUAGGAGCUCCUGCUGCAUGGUGGGGGUUGGAAAGUUUCGGCGGUUGGGGAUGGACUCGCGGCUUAUCAGCUUGUUGGUGGGGUAGUGGCUUACCAAGGCUUUGACGGGUAGCCGGCCUGAGAGGGUGACCGGCCACAUUGGGACUGAGAUACGGCCCAGAGUCCUACGGGAGGCAGCAGUGGGAAAUAUUGCACAAUGGGCGGAAGCCUGAUGCAGCAACGCCGCGUGCGGGAUGACGGCCUUCGGGUUGUAAACCGCUUUCGCCUGUGACGAAGCGGGAGUGACGGUAAUGGGUAAAGAAGCACCGGCUAACUACGUG
RNAcentral lists this ribosomal RNA (468 nucleotides) under uncultured bacterium. Its description in RNAcentral is "partial 16S ribosomal RNA". It matches the Rfam family "Bacterial small subunit ribosomal RNA", at positions 28 to 507 of the family's 1533-position model. The record is from RNAcentral.